GAUGAAGAACGUAGCGAAUUGCGAUAUGUAAUGUGAAUUGCAGAAUUCAGUGAAUCAUCGAGUCUUUGAACGCACAUUGCGCCCCCUGGUAUUCCGGGGGGCAUGCCUGUCCGAGCGUCAUUGCUGCCCUCAAGCACGGCUUGUGUGUUGGGCCCCCGUCCCCGGUUUCCCCCGGGGACGGGCCCGAAAGGCAGCGGCGGCACCGCGUCCGGUCCUCGAGCGUAUGGGGCUUUGUCACCCGCUCUGUAGGCCCGGCCGGCGCCAGCCGACACCCAACUUUAUUUCUAAGGUUGACCUCGGAUCAGGUAGGGAUACCCGCUGAACUUAAGCAUAUCAAUAAGCGGAGGA
This 348-nucleotide unclassified non-coding RNA is filed under the name soil metagenome. RNAcentral describes it as "partial contains 5.8S ribosomal RNA, internal transcribed spacer 2, and large subunit ribosomal RNA". The stretch from base 1 to 120 matches the Rfam family "5.8S ribosomal RNA", at positions 35 to 154 of the family's 154-position model. The record is from RNAcentral.